RNAcentral lists this ribosomal RNA (405 nucleotides) under uncultured bacterium. Its description in RNAcentral is "bacterial SSU rRNA". It matches the Rfam family "Bacterial small subunit ribosomal RNA", at positions 29 to 431 of the family's 1533-position model. The record is from RNAcentral.
AGCGAACGUUUGCGGCGGGCUUAACACAUGCAAGUCGAACGGGCUGUUCCUUCGGGGGCAGUCAGUGGCGCACGGGUGCGUAACACGUAGGUAAUCAACCCUCUGGUUGGGGAUAACACUUCGAAAGGAGUGCUAAUACCCGGUAUGGCGCAGCGGUCUUCGGAUCGCGGCGAGAAAGACCCGCAAGGGUUGCCAGAGGACGAGCCUGCGGCCCAUCAGCUAGUUGGCGAGGUAACGGCUCACCAAGGCGAAGACGGGUAGCUGGUCUGAGAGGAUGAUCAGCCACACUGGAACUGAGACACGGUCCAGACUCCUACGGGAGGCAGCAGUGGGGAAUAUUGCGCAAUGGGCGAAAGCCUGACGCAGCCACGCCGCGUGAGCGAUGAAGGCCUUCGGUCGUAAGAC